GCGGGGGCAACCCUGGCGACGAGUGGCGAACGGGUGAGUAAUGCAUCGGAACGUGCCCAGUAGUGGGGGAUAGCCCGGCGAAAGCCGGAUUAAUACCGCAUACGACCUGAGGGUGAAAGCGGGGGAUCGCAAGACCUCGCGCUAUUGGAGCGGCCGAUGUCAGAUUAGGUAGUUGGUGGGGUAAAGGCCUACCAAGCCUGCGAUCUGUAGCUGGUCUGAGAGGACGACCAGCCACACUGGGACUGAGACACGGCCCAGACUCCUACGGGAGGCAGCAGUGGGGAAUUUUGGACAAUGGGCGCAAGCCUGAUCCAGCCAUGCCGCGUGCGGGAAGAAGGCCUUCGGGUUGUAAACCGCUUUUGUUCGGGAAGAAAUCCCCUGGGUUAAUACCUCGGGGGGAUGACGGUACCGGAAGAAUAAGCACCGGCUAACUACGUGCCAGCAGCCGCGGUAAUACGUAGGGUGCAAGCGUUAAUCGGAAUUACUGGGCGUAAAGCGUGCGCAGGCGGUUGUGCAAGACAGAUGUGAAAUCCCCGGGCUUAACCUGGGAACUGCAUUUGUGACUGCACGGCUAGAGUGCGGCAGAGGGGGAUGGAAUUCCGCGUGUAGCAGUGAAAUGCGUAGAUAUGCGGAGGAACACCGAUGGCGAAAGCAAUCCCCUGGGCCUGCACUGACGCUCAUGCAC
This 685-nucleotide ribosomal RNA is filed under the name Caldimonas sp. Its description in RNAcentral is "bacterial SSU rRNA". It matches the Rfam family "Bacterial small subunit ribosomal RNA", at positions 73 to 754 of the family's 1533-position model. Lineage: Bacteria; Pseudomonadati; Pseudomonadota; Betaproteobacteria; Burkholderiales; Sphaerotilaceae. The record is from RNAcentral.